GGAGCUUGCUUCUUUGCUGACGAGCGGCGGACGGGUGAGUAAUGCUUGGGAACUUGCCUUUGGGUGGGGGAUAACCAUGGGAAACUGUGGCUAAUACCGCAUGAUAUGUACGCAUCAAAGUGGGGGAUCUUCGGACCUCACGCCCAGAGAUAGGCCCAAGUGAGAUUAGCUAGUUGGUGGGGUAAAGGCUCACCAAGGCGACGAUCUCUAGCUGUUCUGAGAGGAUGAUCAGCCACACUGGGACUGAGACACGGCCCAGACUCCUACGGGAGGCAGCAGUGGGGAAUAUUGCACAAUGGGCGCAAGCCUGAUGCAGCCAUGCCGCGUGUGUGAAGAAGGCCUUCGGGUUGUAAAGCACUUUCAGUGGUGAGGAAGGCUAUAUGUUUAAUAGACAUGUAGAUUGACGUUAGCCACAGAAGAAGCACCGGCUAACUCCGUGCCAGCAGCCGCGGUAAUACGGAGGGUGCGAGCGUUAAUCGGAAUUACUGGGCGUAAAGCGUACGUAGGCGGCUUAUUAAGCAAGAUGUGAAAGCCCCGGGCUCAACCUGGGAAUUGCAUUUUGAACUGGUAGGCUCGAGUUUUGAAGAGGGUGGUAGAAUUUCCAGUGUAGCGGUGAAAUGCGUAGAUAUUGGAAGGAAUACCAGUGGCGAAGGCGGCCACCUGGUCAAAAACUGACGCUGAGGUACGAAAGCGUGGGGAGCAAACAGGAUUAGAUACCCUGGUAGUCCACGCCGUAAACGAUGUCAACUAGUUGUUCGUUUCAUAAACGAAGUGAGUAACGCAGCUAACGCACUAAGUUGACCGCCUGGGGAGUACGGCCGCAAGGUUAAAACUCAAAUGAAUUGACGGGGGCCCGCACAAGCGGUGGAGCAUGUGGUUUAAUUCGAUGCAACGCGAAGAACCUUACCAUCCCUUGACAUCCAGUGAAUUUUCUAGAGA
RNAcentral lists this ribosomal RNA (939 nucleotides) under Pseudidiomarina aestuarii. RNAcentral describes it as "bacterial SSU rRNA". It matches the Rfam family "Bacterial small subunit ribosomal RNA", at positions 75 to 1006 of the family's 1533-position model. The record is from RNAcentral. Lineage: Bacteria; Pseudomonadati; Pseudomonadota; Gammaproteobacteria; Alteromonadales; Idiomarinaceae.